RNAcentral lists this ribosomal RNA (675 nucleotides) under Athelia cystidiolophora. Its description in RNAcentral is "partial large subunit ribosomal RNA". It matches the Rfam family "Eukaryotic large subunit ribosomal RNA", at positions 97 to 758 of the family's 3401-position model. Lineage: Eukaryota; Fungi; Basidiomycota; Agaricomycetes; Atheliales; Atheliaceae. The record is from RNAcentral.
AGCGGGAAAAGCUCAAAUUUAAAAUCUGGCGGUCAUGCCGUCCGAGUUGUAAUCUGGAGAAGCGUUUUCCGCGUCGGACCGUGUACAAGUCUUCUGGAACGGAGCGUCAUAGAGGGUGAGAAUCCCGUCUCUGACACGGACUACCGAUGCUUUUGUGAUGCGCUCUCGAAGAGUCGAGUUGUUUGGGAAUGCAGCUCAAAAUGGGAGGUAAAUUCCUUCUAAAGCUAAAUAUUGGCUAGAGACCGAUAGCGAACAAGUACCGUGAGGGAAAGAUGAAAAGCACUUUGGAAAGAGAGUUAAACAGUACGUGAAAUUGUUGAAAGGGAAACGCUUGAAGUCAGUCGCGUUGGCCGAGACUCAGCCUGGCUUGCCUGGUGUACUUCUCGGUCGACGGGUCAGCAUCAGUUUUGACCGUCGGAUAAAGGUUGGAGGAAUGUGGCAUCUCUCGGGAUGUGUUAUAGCCUCUGAUUCGCAUACGGCGAUUGGGACUGAGGAACUCAGCACGCCUUUACGGUCGGGGUUCGCCCACGCAACGUGCUUAGGAUGCUGGCAUAAUGGCUUUAAGCGACCCGUCUUGAAACACGGACCAAGGAGUCUAACAUGCCCGCGAGUGUUUGGGUGUCAAACCCGAGCGCGUAAUGAAAGUGAAAGUUGAGAUCCCUGUCGUGGGAGCAU